AAUGAACGCUGGCGGCAGGCCUAACACAUGCAAGUCGAACGGAUCCUUCGGGAUUAGUGGCGGACGGGUGAGUAACGCGUGGGAACAUACCCUUUGGUACGGAAUAGCCUCGGGAAACUGGGAGUAAUACCGUAUGUGGUCGAGAGACGAAAGAUUAUCGCCAAAGGAUUGGCCCGCGUUGGAUUAGGUAGUUGGUGGGGUAAUGGCCUACCAAGCCGACGAUCCAUAGCUGGUUUGAGAGGAUGAUCAGCCACACUGGGACUGAGACACGGCCCAGACUCCUACGGGAGGCAGCAGUGGGGAAUCUUAGACAAGGGGGGAAACCCUGAUCUAGCCAUGCCGCGUGAUCGAUGAAGGCCUUAGGGUUGUAAAGAUCUUUCAGGUGGGAAGAUAAUGACUGUACCACCAGAAGAAGCCCCGGCUAACUCCGUGCCAGCCGCCGCCGCAG
This 448-nucleotide ribosomal RNA is filed under the name uncultured bacterium. RNAcentral's name for it is "partial 16S ribosomal RNA". It matches the Rfam family "Bacterial small subunit ribosomal RNA", at positions 29 to 523 of the family's 1533-position model. The record is from RNAcentral.